AUUGAGCGCUGGCGGCAUGCCUUACACAUGCAAGUCGAACGGUAACAGGGAGCUUGCUCCGCUGACGAGUGGCGAACGGGUGAGUAAUGUAUCGGAACGUACCUUUCAGUGGGGGAUAACGUAGCGAAAGUUACGCUAAUACCGCAUAUUCUGUGAGCAGGAAAGCAGGGGAUCGCAAGACCUUGCGCUGAUUGAGCGGCCGAUAUCAGAUUAGCUAGUUGGUGAGGUAAAGGCUCACCAAGGCGACGAUCAGUAGGGGUUCUGAGAGGAAGGUCCCCCACACUGGCACUGAGAUACGGGCCAGACUCCUACGGGAGGCAGCAGUAGGGAAUAUUGGGCAAUGGUCGCAAGACUGACCCAGCCAUGCCGCGUGCAGGAAGACGGCCCUCUGGGUUGUAAACUGCUUUUAUCUGGGAAGAAAAAGUCCAUGCGUGGAAAAUUGCCGGUACCAGAUGAAUAAGC
Molecule: ribosomal RNA, 462 nt
Filed under: uncultured bacterium
Lineage: Bacteria
Description: bacterial SSU rRNA
Rfam family: Bacterial small subunit ribosomal RNA
Source: RNAcentral